This 662-nucleotide ribosomal RNA is filed under the name uncultured Vibrionaceae bacterium. RNAcentral's name for it is "bacterial SSU rRNA". It matches the Rfam family "Bacterial small subunit ribosomal RNA", at positions 1 to 652 of the family's 1533-position model. Lineage: Bacteria; Pseudomonadati; Pseudomonadota; Gammaproteobacteria; Vibrionales; Vibrionaceae. The record is from RNAcentral.
CGCGGGAUUAGAGUUUGAUCAUGGCUCAGAUUGAACGCUGGCGGCAGGCCUAACACAUGCAAGUCGAGCGGAAACGAGAAUAGCUUGCUAUUCGGCGUCGAGCGGCGGACGGGUGAGUAAUGCCUGGGAAAUUGCCCUGAUGUGGGGGAUAACCAUUGGAAACGAUGGCUAAUACCGCAUAAUAGCUUCGGCUUAAAGAGGGGGACCUUCGGGCCUCUCGCUUCAGGAUAUGCCCAGGUGGGAUUAGCUAGUUGGUGAGGUAAAGGCUCACCAAGGCGACGAUCCCUAGCUGGUCUGAGAGGAUGAUCAGCCACACUGGAACUGAGACACGGUCCAGACUCCUACGGGAGGCAGCAGUGGGGAAUAUUGCACAAUGGGCGCAAGCCUGAUGCAGCCAUGCCGCGCGUAUGAAGAAGGCCUUCGGGUUGUAAAGUACUUUCAGCAGUGAGGAAGGGUGUGUAGUUAAUAGCUGCAUACUUUGACGUUAGCUGCAGAAGAAGCACCGGCUAACUCCGUGCCAGCAGCCGCGGUAAUACGGAGGGUGCGAGCGUUAAUCGGAAUUACUGGGCGUAAAGCGCAUGCAGGUGGUUUGUUAAGUCAGAUGUGAAAGCCCGGGGCUCAACCUCGGAACCGCAUUUGAAACUGGCAGGCUAGAGUACUGU